Molecule: long non-coding RNA, 625 nt
Organism: Polyodon spathula (Mississippi paddlefish)
Lineage: Eukaryota; Metazoa; Chordata; Actinopteri; Acipenseriformes; Polyodontidae
Exons: 3
Source: RefSeq, a predicted model, not a curated record
UGAUGGUAGUAACCUAACGUUUCUUUAAUCCUCUCCUCUUGGUCUGCUGUGUUUUUUUUGUGUGUGUGUGAUCGGAACUUCAUCUGCGGCUUGGGAGCACCCGGAGAGCCAGUGUCCAGUACACUAGAAUCGGGGAGCAACUACGUCUGGUGAUCCCAGCGCCUGUGCAGUGUUCCGUCGCCUGCGGGGGGCGCCUGUGCAAAUAUGAAAACCCCAUCAAGUGGACCGAGGAGGAGCAGGCAAUUAAAGGGUUAUACUUGUCGUGGAUCACUGAAAGCAUUUUAACAAUGUCACGGCCCUCUUCUGAAGCCAUACAGCAGCAUGCCAUUAUCCAGCAGUUCAAGCAGUAAGUUGGAAGUGCAACGGGACGUGGUCGAAGACGGUGGACCCACAUUCAGGAUUUCGCAGUUGCAUGUAAUUCCUUGGCUUCCAGUGUAAAAUAAGCAGUCAUGGCAGCUACUGGCAGUGACCAAUGAUGAUGUAAUACUUGAAUGUCUCCCAGGUGACAGGGUAAAGUUUAAAACUGCCAAGCCACGCUGGUCUCUUCCUCGAUUUUAGUUCAUUUAUUUGUUCAUUUAUUUGAUUUUCCAACCUAUCAAACAAACCUCCAUAGCUACUUCAUUUG